GUUCAAUGUAACAAAUGUCUUUGAGUUCCAUAAUGGACGGUGGUAUAUGGUUCAUCAUCACAGUUCUGUGAUGAAUGGGGAUGUAGAGCAACAAAUUAUGCAUGGAUAGUAAUAGUAAGAGAGAUGAUAUGUUAUUAUGUCUGAUACUGGUCUCAGAAAAGGAAAUUGCAAUGGGGCCAAAAAAGUGUGAAAAAUAGAUUAAGUGGAUUAAAGUAAAUACAAAAGAUCGAUGGAAAAGAUUACAUGUGAAUCAACGUCCAAUACAUCGGUGAGACUUGUGAAAAACCAAGGCUGUGCAGUUGCAGGAGUUACUAAUUCAAAAGUAUAGUCCAAUUUUGGCGUGCAUUUUAGUUCUCUAGCAGUGUGUGCAUUUUUCAAUAUUGUAAGAGACAAGUCCAUUCCGGCAAUGCAAUAUCCAAUCAACCUUCAAUGCAAUAUCCAAUCAACCUUACCUAUAGAUGAUCAUCAAUCAACAAUCGUAUAUAUAAGAGCUAGUGCAUAACAAUUUCUAUAACAAAAGAUAAAAUCAAAUCAAAUUCUUUUCAUAAGCUAUUACCAAGUUCAAGUGAUGAACACGCGUUAACACCUUAAGCUCGGCAAAAAAUUCUUUUGAUGCUUUCA
Lathyrus oleraceus (garden pea) is the source of this 621-nucleotide long non-coding RNA. RefSeq lists it as uncharacterized. NCBI's taxonomy places the organism in Eukaryota, Viridiplantae, Streptophyta, Magnoliopsida, Fabales, Fabaceae. The record is from RefSeq and is a predicted model, not a curated record. The transcript has 2 exons.